RNAcentral lists this ribosomal RNA (497 nucleotides) under uncultured bacterium. Its description in RNAcentral is "partial 16S ribosomal RNA". It matches the Rfam family "Bacterial small subunit ribosomal RNA", at positions 28 to 507 of the family's 1533-position model. The record is from RNAcentral.
GAUGAACGCUGGCGGCGUGCCUAAUACAUGCAAGUCGAGCGAACAGACGAGGAGCUUGCUCCUCUGACGUUAGCGGCGGACGGGUGAGUAACACGUGGAUAACCUACCUAUAAGACUGGGAUAACUUCGGGAAACCGGAGCUAAUACCGGAUAAUAUAUUGAACCGCAUGGUUCAAUAGUGAAAGACGGUUUUGCUGUCACUUCUAGAUGGAUCCGCGCCGCAUUAGCUAGUUGGUAAGGUAACGGCUUACCAAGGCAACGAUGCGUAGCCGACCUGAGAGGGUGAUCGGCCACACUGGAACUGAGACACGGUCCAGACUCCUACGGGAGGCAGCAGUAGGGAAUCGUCCGCAAUGGGCGAAAGCUUGACGGAGCAACGCCGCGUGAGUGAUGAAGGUCUUCGGAUCGUAAAACUCUGUUAUUAGGGAAGAACAAAUGUGUAAGUAACUAUGCACGUCUUGACGGUACCUAAUCAGAAAGCCACGGCUAACUACGUG